RNAcentral lists this ribosomal RNA (456 nucleotides) under uncultured bacterium. RNAcentral describes it as "bacterial SSU rRNA". It matches the Rfam family "Bacterial small subunit ribosomal RNA", at positions 29 to 485 of the family's 1533-position model. The record is from RNAcentral.
AGCGAACGUUUGCGGCGGGCCUAACACAUGCAAGUCGAACGCACUAGCAAUAGUGAGUGGCGCACGGGUGCGUAACACGUGGGUAAUCAACCCUUCAGCCUGGGAUAACGACUCGAAAGGGUCGCUAAUACCGGAUACGGCGCGAGAGGCUUCGGCUUCUCACGAGAAAGCCACGCAAGGGGCACUGAAGGACGAGCCUGCGGCCCAUCAGCUAGUUGGUGAGGUAAGAGCUCACCAAGGCUAAGACGGGUAGCUGGUCUGAGAGGAUGAUCAGCCACACUGGAACUGAGACACGGUCCAGACUCCUACGGGAGGCAGCAGUGGGGAAUAUUGCGCAAUGGGCGAAAGCCUGACGCAGCCACGCCGCGUGAGCGAUGAAGGCCUUCGGUCGUAAGACUCUGUGGGGAGAGACGAAGAAAGACCUGUGAAGAGCAGGCCUUGACGGUAGUCUCCUUA